ACAAAGGCUCUUUUCAGAGCCACCCACGUUGUCAGCAAAAGAGCUU
This is a non-coding RNA of Chaetura pelagica (chimney swift), 46 nucleotides long. The record is from Rfam. Lineage: Eukaryota; Metazoa; Chordata; Aves; Apodiformes; Apodidae.